ACCCCCUGAAAAAAAGGAAAAAGAUAAUAAAAGGAAAUGUGCCUACAGUGAAGGGACUGUAGCAGACAUAGUUUAUCACAACACCAGUAUAACAAAAGUAAUCACCGAGGUGUAAAACCUGUGCCUCAAAGAAACAACGCAAGAGGAGACCCUGACACGCACCGCGUGUCAAUCUGCUGUGGUAAGCAUGUUUACAUCCCAUGGUGUGGGCACCAGCAGCUCUACACAGGGUGUCCGACUUCCUGGGGCUCCUUUUCCUACUCAAGUCUUAAAAUCUCGUCCAUAGUCCCUUUUAAAAUAUCUGAAAUUGGGGGAAACAGGGAAGAAUCUAGAGAAUGGAAAAGGUGCAGAGACUGUGAAAUACAUUCAGUGAUGGAAUGUGGAUUCAAGAUACCAGUGAGGAAAAAACAGGCAGGCCUGACAGCAGUGAAAUGGUUGUCAGAUGGAACAGGUUUUGUAUGAACAAUGAGAAAUGGCUGUAUUAGGUCAAAGGGGAGGUUUGAAUGACACCUAGAAGUGCGCCCACUACUGGGAACUCAGGCUUUGGUGUAUAAGAAUUCGUAGCAUUUCAGGUGCUGGGUUCUAUUGUUCUAUAAAACUAGUAUGGUCUCUAUUCCCUUUCACUAGAAUGUCCAUUAUUUUCCAAGGGUGCCUACUAGAUAUUUUAGAUACUUUAGUGUUAAAAACAGCCUCGUGGUCUGUUCUUGCAAUGGAGAAGUGUUAACAAAAGGGUCAUCUGAUUUUUUUCCAGUGUGAAAUAAACAUCCUUUCAGAUACCUUAUCCUUUUCUAACAUAAGCCUCUACACCAAGGUUAUAUCACCAAGGACUCCAUCAAGAUAAAAAUCUGUUCAUCUAGAUGCAGGAAAGGAUUCUCCCUCAAGCUCAACAGACCUAAUUAACAAGCCUUUCACAAGGCUGUAUGCCUUCCUGUGACUCAUGGAGCACCAAGUUAAAAAAAAAAUCAGGAGCAAACAGUCAAGCCCAUUAAAUCAAGGAGCUAAAGAGAAUAUCUACAGUUGAAGCAUGAGCUUCUCUCAUAAAAUCUUACUACAUUCUGCUCUUAAAUGUGUAUUAUGGCAAGAAUGAUGCGAGAGGGAGAAUGGAGUGUUUUCCAUUUUACAAGAAAACUGCUAAAGAAACUCGGGUCUCCUAGAGAUGCUGGUGCCCACACCUGAGCAAGUACAGGUUCCAGCACACAAUGGCAUGCAGGCAACUUCCUCUCUGGCUGAUCUGUUACAUCAAGGAAGGGUGUUCUUGACUUUUAAUCCUGAAACUCUAAAAUGUUAUCAUCUUAACCAUUUUAUCAUAAAAAGAAAUUAAAACCUGCUGAAAAAAAUAUCACCCAUAAUUCUAGCACUCCGGUGAUUGUUUUUUAAAUAGCUACAAUCGCCUCCAACAUUUAAUAUAUACAGGCAGACAAAACCUGUUUUUUGAAAGAAUACUUUCUUAAAAACAUUACAUUGAUAGUUCUUACUUAUUUUUGCAUCUUAUCUUUACAGUUAUUCAAAGUUGAGAUGCCAUGUUGACCUUUAAUCAUGCAUAGCAUCUGCUAGUUAGCAUCUCCUAGCUAAAGGGAAAUCCCAGACCUUACUCCAAAAUCAAAGGACUUGGUCUUUCAAAAGACAAGAAAAAUUAGCUCUCUCUUUCUUACUUGUUAAAAAAGUGCUCAAUAAAUUUACUGAGCACUGCUUUUCAAAGCAUUCCCGUAAGUACUCUGAGAGGUGUUAAAGACAAAGUCCUUAACCAAACUAACAGUCUGGAGGAAGAGAUGAAAGUCGCCUCACAUAUGGCUUUUCCCAUAUGGAAAAGGUAUACUGUGAAAGUACAUAAUUAUUAACCCUUACAGAAAAUAGGGGGUUAUGUGUCAAUUUGUUUAAGGUAAUGUAGGAGAGAAAUAAAAUCAAAUUUAAUUUUUAGAAUCGAUUCUUCUAUUCGUCUAUUGAAUAAACAAGUAACUC
Molecule: long non-coding RNA, 1959 nt
Organism: Pteropus alecto (black flying fox)
Lineage: Eukaryota; Metazoa; Chordata; Mammalia; Chiroptera; Pteropodidae
Exons: 3
Source: RefSeq, a predicted model, not a curated record